Molecule: non-coding RNA, 142 nt
Organism: Caenorhabditis elegans
Lineage: Eukaryota; Metazoa; Nematoda; Chromadorea; Rhabditida; Rhabditidae
Source: Ensembl
UGAAUAACUAAUUUUGUUCUCGAUACGGAACGUACAUUGAAAAGUAUAAAGCUGGCGGGAUAAGAUCACAGAAUGCAUGGAAUGUGGUAUGAGAUCACGAAACAAGCACAUAUAGAGUAGGAAGAAUAUGAUCAAAAAUUCA